RNAcentral lists this long non-coding RNA (268 nucleotides) under Brassica rapa (field mustard). RNAcentral's name for it is "long non-coding RNA (BRAP_LNC005167)". Lineage: Eukaryota; Viridiplantae; Streptophyta; Magnoliopsida; Brassicales; Brassicaceae. The record is from RNAcentral.
UUUUUCUUUUUUCUGUUUGCCGUUUUAAACGAUAGAUCACCUUUUAACCAUCUAUCCGACUAUCCGUAUUGUUUAUUUCUUGAUUAACUUGGCUAUCUGGCCGAAGCCUAACUAAUCAUCAGAGCUAGGGAUAAUAUUGACAACGAGCCCGAUCUUAGAUUUUUAAUGAGAUUAAAAACAUGAUCAUAUCUUCAUCUAGUCAAACAUUAAUAAUAUAGUUCCAUGCAGAACUCGAAUCCAUAACCGAUGAAGUUACUCUUUACUCCAA